RNAcentral lists this ribosomal RNA (467 nucleotides) under uncultured bacterium. Its description in RNAcentral is "partial 16S ribosomal RNA". It matches the Rfam family "Bacterial small subunit ribosomal RNA", at positions 28 to 507 of the family's 1533-position model. The record is from RNAcentral.
GAUGAACGCUGACCGAAUGCUUAACACAUGCAAGUCAACUUGAAUUUGGGUUUUUAACUUAGGUUUGGGUGGCGGACGGGUGAGUAACGCGUAAAGAACUUGCCUCACAGCUAGGGACAACAUUUGGAAACGAAUGCUAAUACCUACUAUUAUGAUAAUAGGGCAUCCUAUAAUUAUGAAAGCUAUAAGCGCUGUGAGAGAGCUUUGCGUCCCAUUAGCUAGUUGGAGAGGUAACGGCUCACCAAGGCGAUGAUGGGUAGCCGGCCUGAGAGGGUGAUCGGCCACAAGGUGACUGAGACACGGCCCUUACUCCUACGGGAGGCAGCAGUGGGGAAUAUUGGACAAUGGACCGAGAGUCUGAUCCAGCAAUUCUGUGUGCACGAUGAAGUUUUUCGGAAUGUAAAGUGCUUUCAGUUGGGAAGAAACAAAUGACGGUACCAACAGAAGAAGUGACGGCUAAAUACGUG